GUUGGCACCUUAUAGCACACGACAAACAUCAGAAACCAUUGCCUUGCAAUUGACAUUCCAAAUACUCUUCUUCAAAAUCUACAUACUAUGUGGUACAAGGGAUUCCCAGCAUCUCGUAGAAAAAGAGUAUCUAAUGAACGGGCAAAUUCUUCUCUCUUUUCAGCUGUGCUUCGAGAAUGCUUCUUGAGUCUGAAUUUAGAAUGGUGUUGGAAAGUUGAAUCAUUUACCGUACUGUAGCUCACCAAGCAUCAACCACAUACGAUGAUGAUAUGUAGUAUAUCAGCUUCACACCGA
RNAcentral lists this unclassified non-coding RNA (294 nucleotides) under Hevea brasiliensis (rubber tree). Lineage: Eukaryota; Viridiplantae; Streptophyta; Magnoliopsida; Malpighiales; Euphorbiaceae. The record is from RNAcentral.